UCGUAACAAGGUUUCCGUAGGUGAACCUGCGGAAGGAUCAUUAACGGGGCUUUCGCGUCGUCACGGAGCCGAGGCCGUUGUCGGAAAACGACAAAAGGCCGAGGUCCCUUUUACGGUCUCCCACGUCACGAACCGGGGGGCGAGGGGGAAAAAAAAAGAAGGAGAAAAGGGAGCGGUGAAAAAAAGAAAACCGACGAGGAAAAAAGGGGAUCGUAAAAUGAUCAGGGCCGAGGGUACCUACCGCUCGGCCUGGCGUUACGCGGAAAAAGAGACUCUCUCCGUCCUCUCUCUCCGUGCGGGCGCCAGGCGAAAACAAGAGCGAGAGGUUCGAUGACCCACCUGGGAUUCCGCCCCUUCCCCGGGGGGGUUCCCUGUCUUGUGGGCGCCCUCCCCUGAACGUCCCCGAUCCUCAAACGUUUUCUUUUCCCCUCACCCGCCCUUUCCCCCCUCACACAGUCGGUUCCGUCCACCUUCUUUUUCUCCCCCCCCCCGGCCGAAGUUUUCGAAACCGGUGGUCCUUUGUUUUCUGACAAAAACGAAAAAAAAAAAAAAUAAAAGAGCUGACAACUCUUAGCGGUGGAUCACUCGGCUCGUGCGUCGAUGAAGAACGCAGCCAGCUGCGAGAACUAAUGUGAAUUGCAGGACACAUUGAUCAUCGACACUUCGAACGCACAUUGCGGCCCCGGGUCCCUCCCGGGGCUACGCCUGUCUGAGGGUCGCUUUCCCCUUCGAUCGGACGUCCUCGGCGUCCGCGGCUGGAGGCCUCGCAUGCGCGCCCGUGCGCCUCCGUCCUCCCAAGAGCAGACGCGCCCUCCUUGUCCUCCUCCUCCUCUAGCCCGAAAGCGGCGCGCCGAAACUCUUUUUCCCCCCCCCCCCUUUUCGUGAUAAACGAAUCGAGCGGCUGCCGGUGGGCUUCUUUCCACUCUGGCUGCCCGCUCGAGAGGGGAUGAUGAUAAAAAAGAGAGAAAAGCGCGCCGUGUCCAAGUAAGGCUGGGAAGAGAGAGACGGACGAGAGAGGGCGCGGGCGCUUUGCGCCCUCGUGUUUUCCCAUCUCUCACGCGACCUCAGAUCAGACGAGACGACCCGCUGAAUUUAAGCAUAUUACUAAGCGGAGGAAAAGAAACUAACCAGGAUUCCCUCAGUAGCGGCGAGCGAAGAGGGAAGAGCCCAGCGCCGAAUCCCCCGUCCCCUUCCGCGGGCGCGGGGAAAUGUGGCGUACGGAAGUCCGCAUCGCCCGGCGCGGGCCGGGGGCCUGAGUCCUUCUGAUGGAGGCUCAGCCCGUGGACGGUGUGAGGCCGGUAACGGCCCCCGCCUCGCCGGGGCGCGGACUUCUCGGAGUCGGGUUGUUUGGGAAUGCAGCCCAAAGCGGGUGGUAAACUCCAUCUAAGGCUAAAUA
RNAcentral lists this ribosomal RNA (1396 nucleotides) under Tachysurus nitidus. Its description in RNAcentral is "eukaryotic LSU rRNA". The stretch from base 1060 to 1396 matches the Rfam family "Eukaryotic large subunit ribosomal RNA", at positions 1 to 322 of the family's 3401-position model. The record is from RNAcentral. Lineage: Eukaryota; Metazoa; Chordata; Actinopteri; Siluriformes; Bagridae.